Molecule: long non-coding RNA, 10301 nt
Filed under: Gallus gallus (chicken)
Lineage: Eukaryota; Metazoa; Chordata; Aves; Galliformes; Phasianidae
Description: lncRNA (ENSGALG00010023708.1)
Source: RNAcentral
AGCUGGCAGCCUCCUGACAUAGCCCUGCUUCCAGUCAGCAGCAGUGACACUCAGUGGUGCCACUCUUCUCAAGCAGGUUGGUGACAAAGAAGCUUCAGGAAGUCACUUCUGGCUUGGUCUGGUGAAAGUGUCUCUGGAUGUGCCCUCUGAGCUGACGGCUUUCUGCUUUGUUUUACAUCCCUUGCCCAAAGUAGCCCUCUCACAGCAGGGCAGCUAUUCCCUGGAGGCUGCCUUGCAGGCUGCCCGGGGGCUCUAUCCCCAGGUGUGACUUUCCUGUUCCACCCUUUCUAAACAACCUCCCCGGGGCAGCCUUUCUGCAUACCAGAACCAGAACUGUGCUCUCACACCAGCCUCUGCCCGCCUCAGGGCUCCAGGGAAGCUGCACUCUCAGGCCCAGCAGAGGCCCAGGCUGUUCUCCCUCCUCAUCAGCCCUUUUACAGCAAGGGACCUCUGCUGGCUCUUUCCGAGCAGAAUUGGGGGUUGCAAAAUGGCUCCCCUUCAAGACCAAAUUCCUCUGCCUAAGAACACGAGGCCACAACAAGCAGAUAGCAGGCGCCUGGAGGAGAGGGCCGGCCCCCAGGCCACCGGGACUCAGCUCCUGCCAUCUGACAGUACGGUGGUGAGCUGCUCUGUCCUCUUGUGGUCCUGUGAACGUGCCUCAUCCUGUUUGUCCUUAUCAGGACAUCAGGGUACCUGCUGGGCUGAAAAGCAGGGAAGACAAAGGUAAACGAGGUGCCAACUGGUCCAGCUUCUCAGGGAUUUUAUUUACUCAGCAUCUGGAAAACCUUGGGCAAAUGCACAGGCCUUCUCAACAGUCUGCUUCACUGAGGUUAAGAGAAGUCAUCGCCUUUUCCUCAGCCUAACAGCCCGCCCACACUGAGCUCUGUCCCGUGCCUCUUCUCACAGACAUGCAGGCAGAACCAGGGCUCUGCUGCUCUGAUGGCACGCUGCUGCUGCUGUGCUGCCAUCUUCCAUGGGCCAUCAUCUGCCAGCCGUGCGGUGUCACUGCCUGCUGACAGGCAUCGGCCCCUUCACAUCCCCUCCUGCACAUUGCUCCUUUGUUUUCCUGCUAAUUCCGAGAAGCAGGUCUGUGCCAUUUCCAGCCCCCGAUCCUCCAGGAACAAAUGCCAAAACUGAAAGCCAAUACUUGGGAAUGUUGUCCUGGAGGUAUCGACAGAAACACUUCCCAUCAUUUCAUUUACCGAGGAAAACACCCUUGAAAACACUCCACUGUGGAACGCCUUCCUUGUCUUGGUCACCUCUGGGACUUCCAGCGUCUUCUUGGGGCGAGACCUUCACCGGGACCCGCCCCACUUCUCACUUGUGACCAAAGCACUCAAAAAGAGUGAAGAAAGCAGAGGAAGUGCCCUCUGCCAUCUGGCGUGAGGGAGCUGCCCAUGCUUCAAAGCCCCGCGCGGACAGGAAGGGCUGUGGGGCGAUGCCGAGUGUGGGGCGAGGAAAUGGCGGGGCCGAUGGGACAUGAAAGCCGCGAGCGUGUCAAAGGCAGGACGGAAGUGUUGUAGAGGGCAGCCCUAUUUUUAGCCGCCUCUUGCGAGCUAGCGCUCGCUGUAGAAGAGCUGCUUCCCCUUUCCUUGAUGUAAGCAGAGCCCCAUUGGCGUUUGGGCCUGUUUUUAUUUGGCCACUCACGCAGUUAUGCUGACUGAAAGGUCCCUUGAGCACCGCUGACUCAAAAACACCCAUGGUCGCAGAGUCCUGAGCAAGGAGAACAGAAAGCAUCUGGCACUUCCCUGUCCCCAUUUCAGGACCGAGAGAGGUAGAACCCAAAGCUGAGGCUGCAGAGCGUGACUCUUAGUCAUAUCAACAGGGGAUUUUGCAAUUGGUGGGUGCGGGGUGCGAGGCAGGCAGUCUGCAAGCAAAUUUGAAGUGCUCUGCAAAGCACUGGAGUGGGGUUCCUCUGCUGCCAGGCCUGCGCAGCACAGUGCGGCCCUCACUCCCUGCUGCCCUGCAGCCUGCCGGGCCGCUCCAUUUGGGCACAGGGUUUAGCACAAGUGAGCAGGCAGCUCACGUGGUGAGCGGUGGGUGGCCAUGGCUGCCCUGUAUCUGCCUCCUGUUCACAUUUGCAGCAGCCGACUUCUAUGCAAGGCAGGGUCUAAAGUGGAUCCCGCUGAGUUUGGCCCAGUUUGGCUGGUGCUGUUCAGCUCAGGGACAGGAUGGAAGGAUGGAGUUGAGACUCAUAGAGCCAGCACUCCCAGCAUCCCAUUCCUGCAGCGGAUACACAGAUUACCUAUCAGUAGAGCUCCUUCUUAAGCCGGAUUGAUUAAGGCAGAAUUUGCAAUCGUUGAAUGAGAGAUGACACAAUCAUAGAAUGGCUCAGGUUGGAGGGGACGCUAAAGAUCACCCAGUUCCAGCCCGCCGCCGUGGGCAGGGAUGUGGAUGGAGAAGUGCUUUGUACUGUAACAGUUUCAUUUAGAAGCGAGAAGUCCUUCAUGAGGAGGUAGUGGGAGGAGGAGGUUAUUGACAAUGCCACUCCUGUCCGAAGGAAUGUGCUGGAAAGUUGCAGUGGCCUCUAGAUGGCAGCCCCAUUACUCACUCGUCAGAAAACUGAAAAUAAACGCCUUCCCUUUCAAAGCUGGACUUACAGGCAGGCCUAAAGCUUCGGGAGCUCAGACCAAAACCCGCGGGCAGUCAAGAUGACAGUGGGACCCAUCCGGCUUUGUUUUUUCCCCUUCGCCUCGCCCAAAAGGAGGAGCGAGGACUCGCUUCCCUCUGGACUCUGUAUUUGGUAAUGGGCCGGGAGCUGCCGCUGGGAGCUCGUCCUGACGUUCCUGGAGUCGUCUGGAAAGCGAGGCGGAGCCGCGGUGCUGUGCCCAGGGGUGCGCCUCGCCCCGGGUGCCGGCGGCUCUGCUGGGAGCGGGAGGUCCGCGCCGUGCUGCCGUGUGUGACCCGUGGGACGCGGGGCGGGCAGCUUCCACAGCACCAGAGCAGCGCUCUGCCAGAGCUAUUUGUAUAGUAAAUUGCUGUAUUGUUUCAAUUAAAAAAACGCAGCCGGGCAUUUAAUGGCUCCCAUCUGCGGCCACUCUGCGUAAUUCACUUCCCACUUUAAGGUUUGAAUUCUCCUUUUCUCUUGUAAUCGUGGGGACAAAAAGGGAGAGUUGAUGUCCCUAAUGUUGAUAGAUCUAUCUUCGUGCUCUCUGCUUUAAAUGAGGUUAACCAGGCUUUUGAGGGAGAAGAGUCAUAAAUAUUUCCUUGUGUGAGCGGAGAUGCUGGCACCGGGAAUCAUGGGAAUCCAUCUCAGCCAGCUAUUAACAGACUGUUAACAGACCGUCUUUCUAAUUGACUUAAAUGUUACUCAGUUGACCCCGUUUCAAUAUUUCCUGAGAACUCAUAGUCUUUACUUUUUCCAUCCUCGCAAUACCCUGGGAGCUAACUGCCGUAUUCACAGAGGGAGCUGAGGGAACCAGAUUCCAAAGGUGGUGGGGCCCUACAGGCGGGGCCUGGGGCUCACACGUCCGACCUGCGCUGACAUCCAAAGCAGUCGGGACCGCUGCUCUUCUGAAAUCCCACUGGGCACCCUCUGGCGUCUUUAACACCUCAGUACUUACAGUACCUCUCGUAGCGGGAUUUGUGCGCGCACAGAAGGCAGGCGGCAUCCACAGGGUUUUGCCAGCAGAUUUAGUCUGAGCCUCAUCAGCAGGGGACCUGGAUAAGAAACCGUGGUCAGCUGCCUCUCAGCUCCGAGCCAGUCUUCCUCAAAGAGCGACGGUAACUUUGGAUGCCACGACUGCGUGACACGCAGCUGCAACCUUGACCUGGUAGGAUCUCCUACGGUCAGAUCCAGCAGAGAGGUAUGUGACUUCACUGUCAUGCACUAGCCUGCUCUGCCAGCUGGAUGAUUUAAGCACACCAAAACCAGAACAGCUCAAUAAAAUGGUUUCUGCGUGAACAGUUCAAUGAAAAUAUCUGCGAUUGGUUGUGGUAAAAAAUGCAAAUUAAAAACCCUUUCGGAUAUAGAAAAGAAAGACCAGAAAAUCGCCCUGUGUUGCCAGGACCGGAACAAAGCCAGGCACUUGGAAGCUGCCCCUGGAGGUGUUGGAGGAACGUGUAGUUGUGGUACUAAGGAACAUGGUUUAGUGGGCAACAGUGGUGGUAGGCGGAUGGCUGAACUGGAUGACCUUAGUGGUCUUUUCCAACCUUAAUGAUUCUAUGAUUCUGAGCAACCUGGGCAGCUGGAGAUGAGAGGAAGCAGGUUCUGGUCCUGUCUCUGCCAAAUGGUUUCUGGCUGCUCUCUUUAGUGCGUAGUUGCUAAACCUGUGCACCUGCCACGGAGGAGGUCAAUGAGAAAUCCUGGCUCUUGUUUCAGUGCCCUAGGGACACGGGAAUGUUUUUGGGGAGUUUUGUACUUGCAUCACUUGCAUCUGUGCUGUCCCUGGUAAAUGCGUUUGAGUUCCAAGGGGUUAGAGUCAGGAGUACUUGUGCUGCUUGGAAGGACAUAGUUCCUACACGGACCAGGCUCCUCUCUGCUGUUUGGAGAGCGAGACGGUGUAUGGGACAGGCGGUGUGAAGUCAGUGAGCUCGGGCUUGUUGCUAAGCCUGAGCCUUGUGUUAUCCACUCACAAAUCUAUCAGCACUUGGGAAUUCGGACUGAAGUUACGUCUGAGGCAAAUCCACACAUAUUAGAAGGUUAGAAAUAUGAUUUCGGGAUAACUCAUUGGCCUCUGCCUCUUCUCCCGUCCCACCUCUCUGCUUUGUUACUAUGAUGAGCAUCUCAUGGGGCACAUGGGAGACCAGCCUAGACUGAACUCGUUGUUGGGGACGCGGGUUUGGGAUUUGAGCAGCAGAGUGGCUGUGGUGCUCCUGGUGAGGUGGGAUUAGCCCUCACACGCUCUGCCAGCUGUCUGUCCUUCCACGCUGUUGGUCUGCUGUAGGAGGUGUGCAGUGGGAGCACAUGGGGCGUGAACACAGAGGUUCCUGCUGAGGCAGAAGAAGGUGGCGUGACCCCGAAAAAGGGAACAGGAGCUGCAACUUCCACCCUUGUGGGCUAAGAGGAACGACCACCCCUGAGGUCCCAUGAAGCUGCAGGCUGCUCCAGACCCACCCUUAUGCGGGAAGGAACACACCCUUGCCUCUGCCUGCAUGUGGCUGCAGGUUCCUCGCUGCAGCCCAGCCCUCCUGAUGAUGUGUGGCCUUCGGGUGGUGCGACACGGCGCUGCUGGGGAGUGGGCUGGCUGUGGUGGGCUUCCUCCUCGCCUUACUGCCACGUGCUGCCCCUACAAGACAACCUCCCGCCAGCUGGAAACCCAGCGCGGCCUCGUGUCCCCAAAAUAAAGAUUUUGUCCUACAGUUUCAUGACUGUAAUUGUUAAGCAGCUCUGUUGUAAGCUUCCCACUAUUUGCCUCAAGCAGCUCAUCCCUGCGGUUCCUCCCAUGCUAAUCUCUGCGAUCUGUGGCAUGCAUACAGCGCUGGCUGGAACGGUCCCUCCCCUCUGCUGCACCGUAUUUGCCAGAACAGGCAUAACUCCAGAUAACCGGAUUUGAAACAAUCAGAGCAGGAAGUGGCAAUAACUGGCCUGGAGGGAAGGCGGGGAGUUGCCCAUAGACAGUUUUUUAGAAGGGUGCCCAAUUUGUGCUAUCUGAUCUCUUUCCACGCUCCUUUAGCCCAGGUACAAAGGCAGGAUGUAAAGCUUGCAGGAGUCAUUUCCAUCCUCUCUCCCUGGCUUCUGACUGAGUUCAGAUCUGUACCGUCUCUUUCUUACAGCCGUGCUGUGUGUGUGGUGACACGCAUACUGACCUACGUGUGCACGUGAAGACUUCCAGAGCUGCAUCUGCUUCAGACGUGACACUGAUGUCACCCCACGGAUGCUGCCUCGCUGUGGACAAGGCAACGGACCAAAGUUGGCGUUAUUUCCUCCGUGGAGAGCAGGGACCUCAAGGAUGGCUCUGGUGCAGCUGGCGCUCCCGUGGCGGGCAGUCACAGCCCACGCCAACCCUCUGCCCACCGCGCCUUCAUACCCUGGGGGUCAGAGUGGGCUGAGGCAGGUCCUAGGCGAGUGCUCCCACUGCCGAGCCUGCAGCUUGGUCACCAGCGCCCUCCGGCCAGCCUCAUAAACAUCACCCACCGGGCUCUGCUGCCCAUCCCCUGCUCCCCCAGCCAAGGGUCACGAGCUGCGGCCGGCAGCCGGCUGCCAAACACAGCCGUGGCUCUGUGCAGCCAGCCUGCGAGAGGUCGUCACACGCCUCCUUAAGCAAACAGGGAUCCACGCCAGUUGAUAAAUCAUUUACGAGGAGAAGUCAGAAGCAAGGAACUAGAUUAACCAGGUCACUGGGUGUCCUGAGGGAAUGACGUGUCAGUGGAGCUGAAACAGCAGAUCCCGCAGUUGCAAUCUGUUGCCUUCUUCUGUCCUGACAGCAAUUCAUGGAAAUCCCUGGAACUAGACACUAGUGAUGGAAAAAUCCAUUAGCUCAUCCAAAGUCAGCUUGCUAGUUAAAGCAGUCACUCCCAUUGUACAUUUUUUGGCAGAGUUAAAAUGUCUCAAGAGAGGGGAUUUCCACCAGUUCCUUCUCAAGGGGAAACUAUUCCACCUAUCGGGAAGGCAGCCUCGAGUGGUGCUAUUUAUGUAAAAGAGAAGUAACUCCAAGCCUGAAAGGGAAAACCGAAAGGUUCUGAUGCAGAAACACAGGCAGCGGUCGAUAGCCUGCCCCGGCUGACAUGUGCCACGCACAGCACAUCUGCGAUGGGAACACCAGGGGCCCACGUGUGUUUAUAUACAUCCACCUAGGUGUGUUUGUGUGUAUGCACAGCCUGCCUCUCCUUCCUCAGGCUGGUUAUGACCUUGUGCCUCCCUGGCUAAUCGACGUGUCGUAUCGUGAUCUCACAACCAGGUUACACUUAUGUAAUGCCACUGGCAUCAAGGCGAAGAAAAUUGCUAAAUUGCUUUGAGGAGGGGACAGACGCAUGGAAAAAGAGAGGCACCGGCUGCUGCUGCUGCUCUGGCACACGCUUCCCCUCUGUGUGGGGACAUGGCACGUCCCUUAGGGGCCUCGGUUCCCCAGCUGCGUGCCAGGCACAGCGACCACCCUCAGUGCUCCUGGCGUCUUGUGGCUGAACGCACAGCCUCUGGCAGCACCCUGCCCGCAGCAGCAGGGAAGGUGCUGCAACGCAGAGCUAUGUCACUGAGGUUGUCGGCAGAGGCUAUGGAGGUUUUGGCAGCCAGGAUUUCAGCACCUGGGAAGCACUUCGGGACAGUGGGGAAAUAAAUGAGCUGUGUGAUGGCAUUUAAGGCCUUAUCAUGAGUUUCAGAGCUAUUUCUGCGUUCAGAUGAAUGGGUGUAGCACACGUUGCUGAGCUAGAAUGUGUAGAGACAGGGAGGGUUGCUCUGUGUUCCCAUUCAGAAAGCUCUCAGCCAGCAGAGCUGUAACUUGCAGUCCUGGUGCCUCAGUUCAGGAGCAGGGCUCUGCAGCUAGGGUAGAUACAAUGGCUAUAUUAGCAGCAAACAAACCCCACAUUAUCCAGGGCCCUGAUUACCAGUAUGAUGGGGUGUUGGCUAUAUGCCUCUUAUGAGAAGAAGGUGGGGUAUUGCCUGGGCGUUUGCCCUGGAUUUGUAACUCCUUCUCAACUAGUUGUUUCGUGUGCCUCUCAAAACCUCACUGCUGGCACUGCUGUCUUCCCCUUCCGGGACUCCUGACAUUCAGGUACCAUGUUUUGCACGGACUCAACAGCCACGUACCCGUCAGUUACAUUGGGACUGCUCUCGUGAGUGCCCUGUGCAUGUUACUGUACGGUGGCUUGUGAGUUCUAUUUGGUACAUCCCUGGCUUUGGGCCGCGUGUUCCGCUUUGCAAGGCUUUACUUUGUUUAGCACAAACCACACUGAAGCACAAAUGACAUCUGUGAGGACUGAUAUGGUGUGGAAAGGGACCUAACCAAAAAAGCGCGGGUCAAAUCCUGGGCCUCGGCGGGGUCCCUUUAAUUGCUGUCAGGUCCCAGUGCCAGUUGACCUACUGAGCCCCUUGCCCCUUGCACCAUGGAGGGAUAAGAGCAGGUGAAGCCCAGUAACAGUUUAACUAUGAGAUUAACUCUCUGCCAGUUCCACUACAGAGGGCCCUCUGUUUCUCUGGACAAAAGGUGCUGACUCCAGCCUCCCCAACACGUUGGCCCACGUUCUCCAUCCCCUUCAUGGCCUGGCCUGCCUUCCCCACACCCUGCAGUUCCAGCCUGACUCUCAGCGAAGGCAGGGAGCCUGGGCUCUGCAGCCUUAGGUGGUGCUGCUGCCUGAAGGAGGGCCAGAGUAAGAGACAUCUUCCUCUCUACUCCCCUACACCUACAAGGUCCCAGUGCUCUUCAGAACCACACACCAAGGUAGGACGAGAUGCAGGGAGGCCUGUAACGGUCCAGGUGCUCGGCUGCGUGUCCUCCCUGCUCCUAAGCACCACUGAGACCCUGGUUUCUCAUGCCUUGAAAUUCAUGGGUGUUUGGCCAUGCCCCUCAACACAUGCAGGACCAGGCUCCCGAACUGUCCCAAAGCCCACAGAUGUCAAGGAGGUUCCUUCUUUGGGCUUCACUGUGGCAAUGAACACUGGUUUUACAGCUGGCUAGGCAAGAGGCAGCUAGGUGCAAGCUUAAUGAGGAUGACCUGUCUCAAAGGUUUCAUUUAAAAGAAGAAAGUACCGAGCGUUUUACUUAAAAAUGAACAGAUGUGUAGAGCAAACUCUACCCUUCCCUCGGGUACGGUGAAUCUGAUCACAGCGCAUCCUGCCCAGACCUGAGAGCAGACAGACAGACAGAGCUGCGUCACAAAGUGGAACUGACUGAUGUGACUCGCCCGCGCUGAGCUGGGGAUGAGUGAAACCAUGCUCGUGCAGACAGCGUGGAAAGCGAGCAGAGGUGAUAAGGAGUGGGGGUGUUAGUUGUUGUUGUUCUUGAUUCUGCGUGGGAGAGGGGAGCGAUAUUGAUGAAGACCGUAAACAGCAAUAGGUGCCACCAAGUAGUGGCAACAUACAGCCCUGAACGUACAGCUGCCAUUAGGCACCGAGUGCCUCUCUGCUGAGUGCUCGCACCGAGGGCAGCUUGGCUUCCAACAAGCACCCAUCACUCCCAAGAGGCAGCACCCCCUGAGAACAUGGGCUGCAGUCCUUAUGACCGUGUGCUGUGAGAGCCAUUUCCACCGGAGAGGCAAAUACUUUCCUUCCACUGUGUCACAGAGCCACAUUUCCUCUGAGUUACCUGCACCGAGUGUGUGGGGCUGCACUAAUGCAGGCCUGGCCGAGAAGGGGGCACGGAGACAGGGAUGGAGAUGGGCACAGAGACAGAGAUAGAGACAGAGACAGGGACAGGGCCGGCCAUGCCCAGCAUGCAGAUCGAGGCAGGUCCUUGCAGUGCGGUGGGGCUGACUGACACCCCGGUGCAGUGUGCGUGUGCCGUGUGAUGUGCUUGAGCAGCACAAGGUCAUGUUCAGCCCCCUGCCCUGUUACUGUGAGCAGCCAUGCACUAGUUUCAAGCGUAAUAACAUCAUGACGUAACAGCACACCAUGCUGCGAUGACACCAGCACAUGGAGCAAGCCACGGCGAUCUGAUCUCUUUCUGUACACGCUGAGAUGCACGCUGCCGCCUCCCAGGACAGGUGGGCGGCAGGUGGAUGGGGCUGGCGCUGCCCACGUCCCAGCGCCGGGUGAGAACGUGACUGCCGGCAAUGUCAGGGCUGGGAGAUUGGCUCCGCAGCUCCAGCUCUGCCUCAGCUGCGGCCGAUGAGUCACCGCACCUCUCUGUGCUCACUUCUUCCAUCUGUGGAAAGGUGGCAAUAACAUUUCCUCACCUUACGGGGGGUGGGAGGUGUGUGCAAGGAUGAACAAAUGUUUACAAAGCACCUCGGCGCAGCACAGGCUGGUUGGGCUGUGACUGGGAGGAACCAGCGCUCGCUCUCCGCAUUGCUCCUUCCUGGCCAGGCGAGGUGUCCUCAAGUAAACACUCCCCUCAGAGUCAACAGUCUUCAAUGAGCGCAGAUGAGAUAAUUCCUCAGGAGAGAAACAGAGAGCGAAGAGUCAGCGCGCUGCCAGUAAUUUCCAUGAAUUCUGUCAAAGGAACAGCGGAGUAACCUUUGCAGGAGAAAAAGAAGAAUCAACUAGAAAAACAAAUGAGCAGCGACCAAAUUCUUUCUGCUAAGUGGUGCCGUGGUCUUAGGUUUCACUUCCCAAAUGGGAAACAGAACAGAGAAGUGAAUCCCCUUGAAAUAAAAGUGAAGUUAAUAACGGGACGCCUGUAGCUGCUCACCACAUCCUGUGUAUGCUGAUCGCUCUGUUUAUAGCUGGCACGAGCCCUUCUAGACUCUUCUCUACCAAGUGAGCUGGU